GGGUUGUGAGGUUAAGCGACUAAGCGUACACGGUGGAUGCCCUGGCAGUCAGAGGCGAUGAAGGACGUGCUAAUCUGCGAUAAGCGCCGGUAAGGUGAUAUGAACCGUUAUAACCGGCGAUUUCCGAAUGGGGAAACCCAGUGUGACUCGUCACACUAUCAUUAACUGAAUCCAUAGGUUAAUGAGGCGAACCGGGGGAACUGAAACAUCUAAGUACCCCGAGGAAAAGAAAUCAACCGAGAUUCCCCCAGUAGCGGCGAGCGAACGGGGAGGAGCCCAGAGCCUGAAUCAGCAUGUGUGUUAGUGGAAGCGUCUGGAAAGGCGCGCGAUACAGGGUGACAGCCCCGUACACAAAAGCGCAUGUGCUGUGAGCUCGAUGAGUAGGGCGGGACACGUGGUAUCCUGUCUGAAUAUGGGGACCAUCCUCCAAGGCUAAAUACUCCUGACUGACCGAUAGUGAACCAGUACCGUGAGGGAAAGGCGAAAAGAACCCCGGCGAGGGGAGUGAAAAAGAACCUGAAACCGUGUACGUACAAACAGUGGGAGCACCCUUCGGGGUGUGACUGCGUACCUUUUGUAUAAUGGGUCAGCGACUUAUAUUCUGUAGCAAGGUUAACCGAAUAGGGGAGCCGGAGGGAAACCGAGUCUUAAUUGGGCGUUAAGUUGCAGGGUAUAGACCCGAAACCCGGUGAUCUAGCCAUGGGCAGGUUGAAGGUUGGGUAACACUAACUGGAGGACCGAACCGACUAAUGUUGAAAAAUUAGCGGAUGACCUGUGGCUGGGGGUGAAAGGCCAAUCAAACCGGGAGAUAGCUGGUUCUCCCCGAAAGCUAUUUAGGUAGCGCCUCGUGAAUUCAUCUCCGGGGGUAGAGCACUGUUUCGGCUAGGGGGCCAUCCCGGCUUACCAACCCGAUGCAAACUGCGAAUACCGGAGAAUGUUAUCACGGGAGACACACGGCGGGUGCUAACGUCCGUCGUGAAGAGGGAAACAACCCAGACCGCCAGCUAAGGUCCCAAAGUCAUGGUUAAGUGGGAAACGAUGUGGGAAGGCCCAGACAGCCGUGAUGUUGGCUUAGAAGCAGCCAUCAUUUAAAGAAAGCGUAAUAGCUCACUGGUCGAGUCGGCCUGCGCGGAAGAUGUAACGGGCUAAACCAUGCACCGAAGCUGCGGCAGCGACACUGUGUGUUGUUGGGUAGGGAGCGUUCUGUAAGCCUGCGAAGGUGGCCUGUGAGGGUUGCUGGAGGUAUCAGAAGUGCGAAUGCUGACAUAAGUAACGAUAAAGCGGGUGAAAAGCCCGCUCGCCGGAAGACCAAGGGUUCCUGUCCAACGUUAAUCGGGGCAGGGUGAGUCGACCCUAAGGCGAGGCCGAAAGGCGUAGUCGAUGGGAAACGGGUUAAUAUUCCCGUACUUGGUGUUACUGCGAAGGGGGGACGGAGAAGGCUAUGUUGGCCGGGCGACGGUUGUCCCGGUUUAAGCGUGUAGGUGUGUGUUCCAGGUAAAUCCGGUUCACUUUAACACUGAGGCGUGACGACGAGGCACUACGGUGCUGAAGCAACAAAUGCCCUGCUUCCAGGAAAAGCCUCUAAGCAUCAGGUAACAUCAAAUCGUACCCCAAACCGACACAGGUGGUCAGGUAGAGAAUACCAAGGCGCUUGAGAGAACUCGGGUGAAGGAACUAGGCAAAAUGGUGCCGUAACUUCGGGAGAAGGCACGCUGACAUGUAGGUGAAGUGAUUUACUCAUGGAGCUGAAGUCAGUCGAAGAUACCAGCUGGCUGCAACUGUUUAUUAAAAACACAGCACUGUGCAAACACGAAAGUGGACGUAUACGGUGUGACGCCUGCCCGGUGCCGGAAGGUUAAUUGAUGGGGUCAGCGCAAGCGAAGCUCCUGAUCGAAGCCCCGGUAAACGGCGGCCGUAACUAUAACGGUCCUAAGGUAGCGAAAUUCCUUGUCGGGUAAGUUCCGACCUGCACGAAUGGCGUAAUGAUGGCCAGGCUGUCUCCACCCGAGACUCAGUGAAAUUGAACUCGCUGUGAAGAUGCAGUGUACCCGCGGCAAGACGGAAAGACCCCGUGAACCUUUACUAUAGCUUGACACUGAACAUUGAGCCUUGAUGUGUAGGAUAGGUGGGAGGCUUUGAAGCGUGGACGCCAGUCUGCAUGGAGCCGACCUUGAAAUACCACCCUUUAAUGUUUGAUGUUCUAACGUGGACCCGUAAUCCGGGUUGCGGACAGUGUCUGGUGGGUAGUUUGACUGGGGCGGUCUCCUCCUAAAGAGUAACGGAGGAGCACGAAGGUUGGCUAAUCCUGGUCGGACAUCAGGAGGUUAGUGCAAUGGCAUAAGCCAGCUUGACUGCGAGCGUGACGGCGCGAGCAGGUGCGAAAGCAGGUCAUAGUGAUCCGGUGGUUCUGAAUGGAAGGGCCAUCGCUCAACGGAUAAAAGGUACUCCGGGGAUAACAGGCUGAUACCGCCCAAGAGUUCAUAUCGACGGCGGUGUUUGGCACCUCGAUGUCGGCUCAUCACAUCCUGGGGCUGAAGUAGGUCCCAAGGGUAUGGCUGUUCGCCAUUUAAAGUGGUACGCGAGCUGGGUUUAGAACGUCGUGAGACAGUUCGGUCCCUAUCUGCCGUGGGCGCUGGAGAACUGAGGGGGGCUGCUCCUAGUACGAGAGGACCGGAGUGGACGCAUCACUGGUGUUCGGGUUGUCAUGCCAAUGGCACUGCCCGGUAGCUAAAUGCGGAAGAGAUAAGUGCUGAAAGCAUCUAAGCACGAAACUUGCCCCGAGAUGAGUUCUCCCUGAGACUUAGAGUCUCCUGAAGGAACGUUGAAGACGACGACGUUGAUAGGCCGGGUGUGUAAGCGCAGCGAUGCGUUGAGCUAACCGGUACUAAUGAACCGUGAGGCUUAACCUUACAACGCCGAAG
RNAcentral lists this ribosomal RNA (2921 nucleotides) under Salmonella enterica subsp. enterica serovar Indiana. Its description in RNAcentral is "23S ribosomal RNA". It matches the Rfam family "Bacterial large subunit ribosomal RNA". The record is from RNAcentral. Lineage: Bacteria; Pseudomonadati; Pseudomonadota; Gammaproteobacteria; Enterobacterales; Enterobacteriaceae.